AUCCCUUGGGAAUCUUGUUAAAAUGCAGAUUCUGACUCAGUAGUUUUGGAGUAGGCUCUGGGAUUCUGCAUUUCUAACAAGCUCUAAGUUGAUGCUAC
RNAcentral lists this microRNA precursor (98 nucleotides) under Sus scrofa (pig). RNAcentral's name for it is "mir-544 microRNA precursor family". It matches the Rfam family "mir-544 microRNA precursor family". The record is from Rfam by way of RNAcentral. Lineage: Eukaryota; Metazoa; Chordata; Mammalia; Artiodactyla; Suidae.